AACGUAGGAGACAAACGUUAUCCGGAGUUACUGGGCGUAGAGGGCGUGUAGGUGGUUUCGUAAGUCUGGCGUGAAAUAUCUCGGCUUAACCGAGGCAGGUCGUCGGAUACUGCGGGACUGGAGGACGGUAGAGGCGUGUGGAAUUCCGGGUGUAGCAGUGAAAUGCGUAGAGAUCGGGAGGAACACCAGUGGCGAAGGCGGCUACCUGGACCAGCACUGACAC
This 223-nucleotide ribosomal RNA is filed under the name uncultured prokaryote. Its description in RNAcentral is "partial 16S ribosomal RNA". It matches the Rfam family "Bacterial small subunit ribosomal RNA", at positions 524 to 746 of the family's 1533-position model. The record is from RNAcentral.